This 454-nucleotide ribosomal RNA is filed under the name Cryptosporidium felis. RNAcentral describes it as "partial 18S ribosomal RNA". It matches the Rfam family "Eukaryotic small subunit ribosomal RNA", at positions 567 to 1027 of the family's 1831-position model. The record is from RNAcentral. Lineage: Eukaryota; Apicomplexa; Conoidasida; Eucoccidiorida; Cryptosporidiidae.
CCAGCAGCCGCGGUAAUUCCAGCUCCAAUAGCGUAUAUUAAAGUUGUUGCAGUUAAAAAGCUCGUAGUUGGAUUUCUGUUAAUACCUUAUAUAUAAUAUUUUUUUUUAAAUAUUAUUAUGUAAGAUUAACAUAAUUCAUAUUUUUUAAGACUGAAUUUUUAGUUUUGAUAAUAUGAAAUUUUACUUUGAGAAAAUUAGAGUGCUUAAAGCAGGCUUUUGCCUUGAAUACUCCAGCAUGGAAUAAUAAUAAAAGAUUUUUAUCUUUUUUUUAUUGGUUCUAAGAUAAAAAUAAUGAUUAAUAGGGACAGUUGGGGGCAUUUGUAUUUAACAGUCAGAGGUGAUAUUCUUAGAUUUGUUAAAGACAAACUAAUGCGAAAGCAUUUGCCAAGGAUGUUUUCAUUAAUCAAGAACGAAAGUUAGGGGAUCGAAGACGAUCAGAUACCGUCGUAGUCUU